ACAUCCAGCGAAUUCGGUAGAGAUACCUUAGUGGCCUUCGGGAACGCUGAGACAGGUGCUGCAUGGCUGUCGUCAGCUCGUGUUGUGAAAUGUGGUUAAGUCCGCAACGAGCGCAACCCUUAUCCUUUGUUGCCAGCGGUCCGGCCGGGAACGUCAAAGGAGACUGCCAGUGAUAAACUGGAGGAAGGUGGGGAUGACGUCAAGUCAUCAUGGCCCUUACGAGUAGGGCUACAUACGUGCUACAAUGGCGCAUACAAAGAGAAGCGACCUCGCGAGAGCAAGCGGACCUCAUAAAGUGCGUCGUAGUCCGGAUUGGAGUCUGCAACUCGACUCCAUGAAGUCGGAAUCGCUAGUAAUCGUAGAUCAGAAUGCUACGGUGAAUACGUUCCCGGGCCUUGUACACACCGCCCGUCACACCAUGGGAGUGGGUUGCAAAAGAAGUAGGUAGCUUAACCUUCGGGAGGGCGCUUACCACUUUGUGAUUCAUGACUGGGGUGAAGUCGUAACAAGGUAGGCGUAGUGCU
This 524-nucleotide ribosomal RNA is filed under the name uncultured bacterium. Its description in RNAcentral is "bacterial SSU rRNA". It matches the Rfam family "Bacterial small subunit ribosomal RNA", at positions 984 to 1509 of the family's 1533-position model. The record is from RNAcentral.